RNAcentral lists this ribosomal RNA (478 nucleotides) under uncultured bacterium. RNAcentral describes it as "partial 16S ribosomal RNA". It matches the Rfam family "Bacterial small subunit ribosomal RNA", at positions 28 to 507 of the family's 1533-position model. The record is from RNAcentral.
GAUGAACGCUGGCGGCGUGCCUAACACAUGCAAGUCGAACGGAGUCCAGCCUUUAAGCUCUUCGGGUCAAAGAGGGGAAGACUGAGUGGCGGACGGGUGAGUAACACGUGGGCAACCUGGCUCAUAGAGGGGGAUAACAGAGAGAAAUUUCUGCUAAUACCGCAUAAGCACACACUGCCGCAUGGCAGAGGGUGAAAAGAGAAUCGCUAUGAGAUGGACCCGCGUCUGAUUAGCCAGUUGGCAGGGUAAGAGCCUACCAAAGCGACGAUCAGUAGCCGAUCUGAGAGGAUGAACGGCCACAUUGGGACUGAGACACGGCCCAAACUCCUACGGGAGGCAGCAGUGGGGGAUAUUGCACAAUGGGGGGAACCCUGAUGCAGCGACGCCGCGUGAGUGAAGAAGUAUUUCGGUAUGUAAAGCUCUAUCAGCAGGGAAGAUAAUGACAGUACCUGAAGAAGAAGCCCCGGCUAACUACGUG